RNAcentral lists this ribosomal RNA (253 nucleotides) under uncultured bacterium. Its description in RNAcentral is "partial 16S ribosomal RNA". It matches the Rfam family "Bacterial small subunit ribosomal RNA", at positions 524 to 776 of the family's 1533-position model. The record is from RNAcentral.
UACGUAGGUGGCAAGCGUUGUCCGGAGUUAUUGGGCGUAAAGCGCGCGCAGGCGGUGCGGUAAGUCUCUGGUGAAAGCGCUCGGCUUAACUGGGCGAGGGCCGGGGAGACUGCCACGCUGGAGGGGAGCAGAGGCGAGUGGAAUUCCGGGUGUAGUGGUGAAAUGCGUAGAGAUCCGGAGGAACACCAGUGGCGAAGGCGGCUCGCUGGGCUCUACCUGACGCUGAGGCGCGAAAGCUAGGGGAGCAAACAGG